Molecule: ribosomal RNA, 412 nt
Filed under: Asceles margaritatus margaritatus
Lineage: Eukaryota; Metazoa; Arthropoda; Insecta; Phasmatodea; Lonchodidae
Description: partial large subunit ribosomal RNA
Rfam family: Bacterial large subunit ribosomal RNA (bases 276-412)
Source: RNAcentral
CUUGUAUGAAUGGUUUGACGAAAUAUUAACUGUCUCAUAUUAAUAUAUAAAAUUUAAAUUUUAAGUUAAAAUGCUUAAAUUUUAUUGUAGGACGAGAAGACCCUAUAGAUCUUUAUUAUUUAUAUUUUUAUUAUUUUUUAAUAAUUAUUAUUCAUUAAUGAUAUAAAUUAUUUUGUUGGGGAAAUGUUGAAAAAAANAUAAUUCUUAAAUUUAUUAUUCAUUUAUUUUUGUUUAUAUGACCUUUUAAUAAUGUUUUUAAAUUUAAAUACCUUAGGGAUAACAGCGUAAUUCUUUUUGAGAGUUCUUAUCNACAAUGGAAAUUGCGACCCCGAUGUUGGAUUAAAAUUAUUUUUGGGUGUAAAUGCUCAAGCUUUAAGUCUGUUCGACUUUUAAAAUCUUACAUGAUCUGAGU